GAUACCGAUUUCGGCGAGUCUGUCGGAGACGACGCGGAUCAAUUGUCGAC
RNAcentral lists this small RNA (50 nucleotides) under Sinorhizobium meliloti 2011. RNAcentral describes it as "putative ncRNA". Lineage: Bacteria; Pseudomonadati; Pseudomonadota; Alphaproteobacteria; Hyphomicrobiales; Rhizobiaceae. The record is from RNAcentral.